AUUACCGAGUUUACAACUCCCAAACCCAAUGUGAACGUUACCAAACUGUUGCCUCGGCGGGAUCUCUGCCCCGGGUGCGUCGCAGCCCCGGACCAAGGCGCCCGCCGGAGGACCAACCAAAACUCUUAUUGUAUACCCCCUCGCGGGUUUUUUACUAUCUGAGCCAUCUCGGCGCCCCUCGUGGGCGUUUCGAAAAUGAAUCAAAACUUUCAACAACGGAUCUCUUGGUUCUGGCAUCGAUGAAGAACGCAGCGAAAUGCGAUAAGUAAUGUGAAUUGCAGAAUUCAGUGAAUCAUCGAAUCUUUGAACGCACAUUGCGCCCGCCAGUAUUCUGGCGGGCAUGCCUGUCCGAGCGUCAUUUCAACCCUCGAACCCCUCCGGGGGGUCGGCGUUGGGGAUCGGCCCUUUACGGGGCCGGCCCCGAAAUACAGUGGCGGUCUCGCCGCAGCCUCUCCUGCGCAGUAGUUUGCACACUCGCAUCGGGAGCGCGGCGCGUCCACAGCCGUUAAACACCCCAAACUUCUGAAAUGUUGACCUCGGAUCAGGUAGGAAUACCCGCUGAACUUAAGCAU
This 572-nucleotide ribosomal RNA is filed under the name Trichoderma virens. Its description in RNAcentral is "eukaryotic LSU rRNA". The stretch from base 205 to 358 matches the Rfam family "5.8S ribosomal RNA". Lineage: Eukaryota; Fungi; Ascomycota; Sordariomycetes; Hypocreales; Hypocreaceae. The record is from RNAcentral.